This is a small nuclear RNA of Arvicanthis niloticus (Nile rat), 107 nucleotides long. NCBI's taxonomy places the organism in Eukaryota, Metazoa, Chordata, Mammalia, Rodentia, Muridae. The record is from RefSeq and is a predicted model, not a curated record.
GUCCUCACUUUGGCAGCAUACAUACUAAAAUCAGCCUGAUACAGAGAAGAUGACUGUGGCCCCUGCACAAGGAUGGCGUGUAAAUUCAUGAAUUAUUUCAUAAUUAA